AAAACAAUGAUGAACGCUAGCGACAGGCCUAACACAUGCAAGUCGAGGGGCAGCACAGUGUAGCAAUACAUAGGUGGCGACCGGCGCACGGGUGAGUAACGCGUAUGCAACCUGCCUACAACAGGGGGAUAACCCGGAGAAAUCCGGACUAAUACCGCAUAAAACAGGGGUCCCGCAUGGGAGUAUUUGUUAAAGAUUUAUCGGUUGUAGAUGGGCAUGCGUUCCAUUAGUUGGUUGGUGAGGUAACGGCUCACCAAGACGUCGAUGGAUAGGGGAACUGAGAGGUUUGUCCCCCACACUGGAACUGAGACACGGACCAG
RNAcentral lists this ribosomal RNA (320 nucleotides) under uncultured bacterium. RNAcentral's name for it is "bacterial SSU rRNA". It matches the Rfam family "Bacterial small subunit ribosomal RNA", at positions 28 to 334 of the family's 1533-position model. The record is from RNAcentral.